RNAcentral lists this ribosomal RNA (253 nucleotides) under uncultured bacterium. RNAcentral describes it as "partial 16S ribosomal RNA". It matches the Rfam family "Bacterial small subunit ribosomal RNA", at positions 524 to 776 of the family's 1533-position model. The record is from RNAcentral. RNAcentral also lists the same sequence under 1 other name.
UACGGGGGGGGCAAGCGUUGUUCGGAAUUACUGGGCGUAAAGGGCGCGUAGGCGGUUCGCUAAGUUGGAUGUGAAAACUCUGGGCUCAACCCAGAGCCUGCAUCCAAAACUGGCGGGCUAGAGUUCUGGAGGGGGUAGCGGAAUUCCUGGUGUAGCGGUGAAAUGCGUAGAUAUCAGGAGGAACACCGGUGGCGAAGGCGGGUCUCUGGGCCGAUACUGACGCUGAGGAGCGAAAGCGUGGGGAGCGAACAGG